GCUGUUGUUUACAGUGAAGUUUUCCUCACUGGAUGGGACUUCGUCCCUAUUUAUUUUGCAUUGAUAUGGACUGCUCACUACAACAUUAGCUGCUGCAUGCUUCAUAAUGAGACUGGACUGUUCAUGGGUAAGGAGAUAAUGUGUGCUGGGAGUUGAAAGCUGUACUACUGAUGGCAGGGGAAGAUUUUUGGUCACGCUGCACCGUACAGCUUAAUAGAUUCCUGAUAUUUUUGGAGGCUGAUUUUACCAUCAAAGAAUUCACCCAAGAUGAAGAAAGAAGAAAUAGGUAUGUGCUACGGAAGGAGCCAAGUGAUUCUGCUUUCUCCAGUCAUUUUGAGGGAAGAUUAGCCCUCAGCUAGCAUCUGCUGGAAAUCCUCUUUUCACUGAGGAAGACUGGCCCUGAGCUAACAUCCAUGCCCAUCUUCCUCUACUUUAUACGUGGGACACCUACCACAGCAUGGUUUGCCACGCAGUGCCAUAUCCCCACCCAGGAUCUGAACUGGUGAACCCCGGGGCGCCGAAGCAGAAUGUGCUCACUUAACCGCUGUGCCACUGGGCCGACCUGUCAAUUUCUUAUCUAUCUAUUUGGUUCCAUUGGCCAACCUUUCGCCUGUGCUACUUUCUCCUGAUUACUGCAGCUUUAGAGUGGCUGUGAAAAUCAAGUCAUAAGGGUCCUCCAACAUCUUCUCCUUGUAAAAAAUUAUUUUGGCUAUGCAAGUUCCAUUGCCUUUGCACAUUAAUUUAAAAGUGCUAGUAAUCUUUGAUGUUCCAUAACUAGUAGAAGCAUCACCCUGAUCUCUGCCUUUAUCUUUACAUGUGUUCUCCCUGUGUGCAUGUCAGUGACCAAAUUUCCCUUUUUGAUAUACAAACCAGUCAUACGGGAUUAGAAGUCCACCCUACUCCAGAAUGACUUCAUUUUAACUUAUUACAUCUGCAAUGAUCCUGUUUCUAAUGAGAGUCACAUUCUGAAGUACUGGGAGUUAGGACUUCAACAAAUAAAUUUGGCGUUGGGGGCACAGUUUAACCCAUAACACUCUUCUUCCAGGAAUCAAGUUACAUGUAUGUUAAGCUAUGUGAUGUGAUCUAACAUGUACCUGAAUUAAAAUUUUUUUCUAAGUGACAACUUUGACGUAUUUUCAAGGUCACUGCUUCUUCUCUCAUCACCCUUCCCCUAGACGCUAGUCAUUUUUUUAAAAUUUCAGAUAUUGCAUGUUUUCAUAUCUUUAAUUUUCAUAGGUUACCUUUUAUUGUUUCUAUCC
This 1259-nucleotide long non-coding RNA is filed under the name Equus caballus (horse). RNAcentral's name for it is "lncRNA (ENSECAG00000057845.1)". The record is from RNAcentral. Lineage: Eukaryota; Metazoa; Chordata; Mammalia; Perissodactyla; Equidae.